GUUAAGCGACUAAGCGUACACGGUGGAUGCCCUGGCAGUCAGAGGCGAUGAAGGACGUGCUAAUCUGCGAUAAGCGUCGGUAAGGUGAUAUGAACCGUUAUAACCGGCGAUUUCCGAAUGGGGAAACCCAGUGUGAUUCGUCACACUAUCAUUAACUGAAUCCAUAGGUUAAUGAGGCGAACCGGGGGAACUGAAACAUCUAAGUACCCCGAGGAAAAGAAAUCAACCGAGAUUCCCCCAGUAGCGGCGAGCGAACGGGGAGCAGCCCAGAGCCUGAAUCAGUGUGUGUGUUAGUGGAAGCGUCUGGAAAGGCGCGCGAUACAGGGUGACAGCCCCGUACACAAAAAUGCACAUGCUGUGAGCUCGAUGAGUAGGGCGGGACACGUGGUAUCCUGUCUGAAUAUGGGGGGACCAUCCUCCAAGGCUAAAUACUCCUGACUGACCGAUAGUGAACCAGUACCGUGAGGGAAAGGCGAAAAGAACCCCGGCGAGGGGAGUGAAAAAGAACCUGAAACCGUGUACGUACAAGCAGUGGGAGCACGCUUAGGCGUGUGACUGCGUACCUUUUGUAUAAUGGGUCAGCGACUUAUAUUCUGUAGCAAGGUUAACCGAAUAGGGGAGCCGAAGGGAAACCGAGUCUUAACUGGGCGUUAAGUUGCAGGGUAUAGACCCGAAACCCGGUGAUCUAGCCAUGGGCAGGUUGAAGGUUGGGUAACACUAACUGGAGGACCGAACCGACUAAUGUUGAAAAAUUAGCGGAUGACUUGUGGCUGGGGGUGAAAGGCCAAUCAAACCGGGAGAUAGCUGGUUCUCCCCGAAAGCUAUUUA
This 828-nucleotide ribosomal RNA is filed under the name Escherichia coli. RNAcentral describes it as "partial 23S ribosomal RNA". It matches the Rfam family "Bacterial large subunit ribosomal RNA", at positions 1 to 872 of the family's 2925-position model. The record is from RNAcentral. Lineage: Bacteria; Pseudomonadati; Pseudomonadota; Gammaproteobacteria; Enterobacterales; Enterobacteriaceae.